UCUGAGACUACCUUAUUGCAACCAGGUGGUGAUGUCUGAGAGGAACUUAGGAUUUAUUACAAGCCAUGGUUUAAAGGAAUUUAUUGAAGACCAACACCUGUGUGGGAAUGAAAUAAACAGGAUUGGACAGAGGAAGAAGCUGAAUUGCGAUGAAGUCACAACGAACGCUGUACCCGAUGGUAUCUCCUACAGCUUGCUCUGAAACUGGAGAAACCUUCAGAUGGAGGCAAGGGAACUGGGCCUUUUGUACUCUCCCCCCAGCCCAUCCUCUCUAAUUGACCAGUUAUUGGAUACAGGCUCUCUUCGGUGAGAGAAUUUACAAAAAAGCAACCCAUUUGCAUGGCGUUGACUAUUUCUAAGUGAUACAAUACAUCAUCAGCUAAAAAGCCUAUUAUGUGUCUGUUCCAUGAACCCUCUGGUAUUAACUAAGAAUAAAGAAUGCAGAAUUCAAACUUAACAAACUCCUAUUUAUUUUUCAUGUCCCAGCCCAAAUAAUUGUGAGGUCUCUGGAGAUUUUCCAGAGUAAAAUUAGUUGCUCCUACCUCUUUGUUCCCUCAUCACUACACUCAUAGAUUUGUAGUAAUACUUGUCAAAUUGAAUUAUAUAUUAUUGCUUUCUGGUCUAC
Molecule: long non-coding RNA, 625 nt
Filed under: Homo sapiens (human)
Lineage: Eukaryota; Metazoa; Chordata; Mammalia; Primates; Hominidae
Description: HSALNT0179675
Source: RNAcentral